RNA transcript from Stomoxys calcitrans (stable fly), 304 nucleotides. RefSeq lists it as uncharacterized. Lineage: Eukaryota; Metazoa; Arthropoda; Insecta; Diptera; Muscidae. The transcript has 2 exons. The record is from RefSeq and is a predicted model, not a curated record.
CUUGGAUAUCUUGAAUUCCCCUAAAACAUGGCUUCCAAAUAUGCAUAUCAGCUUAUGGAUGAAGAAUAUUACUUCGGUAGUGGACAAGAGCACACAUAUGGGUUACAUUGGACAAUUGAUAUUUUGUGAACCACGUGGCUUAAGGAAUAAUUGAAAUCCAAUGUUUGCUAUAUUUUAAAAUCAAUUGACUUAUUUAAAUAAUUUUUGUAUUUAGGUUUACUUCAUACACAACAAACAAUGUGAACUGAAUCUAAAUGAAAAACAGUAAAUGCACCUAAAUCGAAUUCAAGUGGUGAUAUAUAAA